UACGGAGGGUGCAAGCGUUGUUCGGAAUCAUUGGGCGUAAAGCGCGUGUAGGCGGCUUGGCAAGUCAGUUGUGAAAGCCCGGGGCCCAACCCCGGAACUGCAUCUGAAACUGCCUGGCUAGAGUCCCGGAGAGGAAGGCAGAAUUCCCGGUGUAGGGGUGAAAUCCGUAGAUAUCGGGAGGAAUACCAGCGGCGAAGGCGGCCUUCUGGACGGUGACUGACGCUGAGACGCGAAAGCGUGGGGAGCGAACAGG
This 253-nucleotide ribosomal RNA is filed under the name uncultured bacterium. Its description in RNAcentral is "partial 16S ribosomal RNA". It matches the Rfam family "Bacterial small subunit ribosomal RNA", at positions 524 to 776 of the family's 1533-position model. The record is from RNAcentral.